CGCUGGAAAUGGCAUAACGCAUGGCUAUGGCAUGGCUUUUUUUCCUCCAUGGAUGUUGGAGUUGCACCGGUGGUCGUAGUUACCGUGGUUUUCGCAUUUCUUGGGUCGUGGCAAGUUUGGAGGACUUCACGGGGCUUUCACUCGAGGUGGUGAAACAAGUGUCGAAUUUGUGUAAUCAUGAGCGGCAUGGCGAACGGUCAAACUGAGCCGUGCACUUUAAGCACUGCUGCAUCCUCGUCGUUGUUCGCCGUUUCCGGGUGGGCAUACGCGGGUGUCAACCACAGCUUGGCAGGCAACGGCGGGCCCGAGUGCGCCCAAUUCGUAUCCACCCGGAGGCGCCUCUGGGAAACGCUGCUGGCUGUGCUCUGGGCUACGGCACUAGCGCUGUGGAGCUGGCGGCGUCUGCAGGUGCCUCCAGCGCCAAAAGUUGUGCGCGAAGAUCGUGGGGGCAAGCGGUGUCUGCUGGUGCUGCUCUGUUUGGUGUUUGGCAUGGAACUUGGCUUCAAGUUUGCUUCACGCACCGUCAUCUACAUUCUCAACCCCUGCCACAUCAUCACCAUGCUACAGAUAGUAAUGCUGGCGGCACCUCCCACGUCUUGCCUGCUGACGGUGCUGUUUCGAGUGCACAUCCAUUGGCUGAAUGGUCCCCUGCUGGCACUUCUGUUUCCGGUGCUGAACACGCGGCUGCUGCCGCUGGAACAAGAGGUGUACUGGGUGCAGCAUGGACUGAUGCUGGCCGUGCCCUGCUACCUCAUGCGGCUGGGCGGCGUGUUUAGCACAGAGCCCCUGGCCGACCUCAGCUGGGGGCUGCUCAGCCUGGCGCUGCAGUACCUCUACCACUUCCUUGUCCUGCAAUCGCUGGCACUGGUGACUGAAGUGAACCUGAACAGCAUGCUGUGUCCGGCGGUGUCAGACCCAUUUUAUGGCCCCCAUUACCGGCUGUGGGCACUGGCCCACCAGUUCUUGCUGGUGCUGGUGGCAGGCAAGCUGUACACAACUGUGUGUGCCUGGCUGCUGCGUGUCACCAGGCUGCGCAUCUGCUGCAGCACAGGACAGGACCACAAGCAUUCCUCUUAGAGGGACUACCUCAGGAGCAAUUCUCAAGGUCUGACUGCUGCCUUGGCCAGGUGCUCUGCAGCUGCAGGGGACUGAGGGCCAUGGGUUAAUUGUAGGAAUCAUCAGGGAGGUAGUGGCAGAAUACUGCACCAGGGAGACCAAUUCCUGUUCUGGUGCGUGCUACCCAGGCCUGCUGCUGUGGCUGCUCCAAGGCCAGCACCAACAGUGCUCAGUUGCUAAGAACUAUGGGAGAGGCAGCUGAGAAAAGGCGCUGCAUAACCUAGCAGCUCUCACGCUCCAGUGCUGAUAGCUGCCUAGUUUAGAAGUUGGCCAUGUAGUUUAAGCCUAAGUAGUGUUGCCACGGGUGAACUAGCAGUUGUCACAUCUAUGACAAAUAUUGCCCUAUAAAACCCACAGCCUUGUGCAAAAUAGCACCUGUAUGCUCAAUAGGCAAAGUUGGCAGCUACACUGCAAUGUUUUUAAAUAGAUGUGAGAACACGACCAGUAUGAAAAGCUAAAAUGAGAGUGAUUCCAAUGGUGCUAAUGGGGCCAGUAUAACCUGAGCUGCUGUGGAUGUUCUCCAUCCACAUUGUUUUGAUGAGCAGUGCAGGUGAUUGUGGUGGGUAGCCAUGCUGCAUCAAUGUAAUUUUGUGUGCCAUUCCCUUGUGUGUGUACAUUGUCAGAAGAUAAUUUCUUGUAUUAGCGACAGGUAGCUAAGCGUUAUGGUGAUAUCUUAAGCAUAGAGUUAUGAAAAGUGAACAUUUUUUAUCGUUAACAUAUACCCGUUUUAUAAGUUCGCAUAAGAAGUUCUCUAGUCAAUAAAGGUGUUAUACAAAUUGAAA
Molecule: non-coding RNA, 1898 nt
Organism: Dermacentor andersoni
Lineage: Eukaryota; Metazoa; Arthropoda; Arachnida; Ixodida; Ixodidae
Source: RefSeq, a predicted model, not a curated record